UUAUUUGAAGAAAGUGUAUUUUUUUGUUCUUAAUGGCGGUACAGGCUCUUUUUUAAUAUUGUAUUUAAUUACAGAGUAAUGUCCACAUAUUAAUAUAUUUUUCAAAUUGGGCUCUGUACCGCCAUUCUCUAUUAUAUUACGAAUAGGUGUGCCAAAUAUCUCGAAAAAAUAUUCAAAAUUACAGCCGCAAUCUUGGAACGCGUUUUUGCUACCUGUUGAUCGCUACUGUUUCCUCUUAACAUAUUAUUAUAAAAAUCACAAAUACACGAAGAGAUUAACAUUUUCAAAACCAGAGGGCAGAAGAAGUAGAGAAGACCAGGAAGAAGAUGGAUUGAUGAUGUAGAAGAAGACCUAAAGGCGGAGAUACAUAUGCGCUCUGCUCGGUGUGCGAGCCGCUCGCGCGCAGCGUAUUCGUCAGAUUAGUACGUGUUUUCAAGUGACGCACAAACGGCACGCACACGGCGCACCACGAUCUAAAUUCUGUCGGUUUUUCAACAAACGCUUUGAUGGUUCGCAAUACGUAUUUGGACGGGUUUGCGAGUGGUUUGUUGGUUUUGGCGCGCAUGAGUUGAAUAUUUGUUAGUAAUGGAAUGGUCGGAAUUGUCGGAAGGAAAUUGAUGUUUACCGUGGAAAAUCAUUAUUGUGGGAUCCUCAAUAAAGAACCAUUUAAUUUAAAGAAACAACUUAAAUCCGAUCUGAACGGAAAUAGAAGCUGAAAUAAAAAAAUGUACAUGCGGACCUUUUUAAAAAAUGUUAGUUCAUUGUUGUACUAAAAAUAACAUGUAUUAAAAAUAAGAUUUACUAUUUUAUUUGGGCAUAAGCCACAAUUCGAGUUUGAAAUCAAGUUUACUUGACCUUUCGACUUUCACUUCGGAAAUAGUUAUUAAUAUCAAAAAAACAUUCAUAAGCAGAUAUAUAUUAUGUGUCACCGGAAAGCGAAAUAGGUAACGCACGACUUGGAGAACCUAUAGUUUUCUAACUUGGUGUCUGGUGAAGCAACGCAGUUGAAACAAGCGGAUAUAUUAUAAUUGUGUCACCGGCAAGCGAAAAAGGUAAGGCACAACUUGGAAGACCCAAUAGUUUUCUAACUUCGCUUCUGGUGAAGCAACAGAGUUGGAACAAGCAGAUAUAUUAUAAUUGGGUCACCGGAAAACGAAAGAGGUAACGCACAACUUGGAAGACCCAAUAGUUUUCUAACUUCGCUUCUGGUGAAGCAACGGAGUUGGAACAAGCAGAUAUAUUAUAAUUGGGUCACCGGAAAGCCAAAAAGGUAACGCACAACUUGGAAGACCCAGUAGUUUUCUAACUUCGCUUCUAGUGAAGCAACGGAGUUGGAACAAGCAGAUAUAUUAUAAUUGGGUCACCGAAAAGCCAAAAAGGUAACGCACAACUUGGAAGACCCAAUAGUUUUCUAACUUCGCUUCUGGUGAAGCAACUGAGUUGGAACAAGCAGAUAUAUUAUAAUUAUGUCACCGGAAAACGAAAAAGGUAACGCACAACUUGGAAGAGCCUAUAGUUUCCUAACUUCGCUUCUGGUGAAGCAACGGAGUUGGAACAAGUAGAUAUGUUAUAAUUGUGUCGUCGGAAAGCGAAUAAGGUAACGCACAUCUUGGAAGAGCCUAUAGUUUCCUAACUUCGCUUCUGGUGAAGCAACUGAGUUGGAACAAGCAGAUAUAUUAUAAUUCGGUCACCGGAAAGCGAAAAAGUUAACACAGGGUUUGGAAGAACCUAUAGUUCUCUAAUUUCGUUUCCAGUGAAGCUACGCAGUUGAAACAAGCAGAUACAUUACAAUUGUGUCACCGGAAAACGAAAAAGGUAUCGCAUGACUUGGAAGUACCUAUAGUUCUCUAAUUUUGUUUCUGGUUGUAGGAACAAGCAGAUAUAUUAUGGUAGGGGAGCAAAGUAUGCUAAAUGUGCAGUCACUCGAGCGCUUUGGGGACCUAUUGGGUUGUGAUUAUUAGGUCCUAAAACCAAAAAAGUUAAGUAAAAUUUUCCAUUUUACUGGGGACUUCCCAUUUUUUAAUUUAAUUUUCCAUUUCCAACAAUCUUUUUUCCAAUUAUAGCGCCAUCUAUCCAUAAUUCAAAAAAAUGUUUCGAAUAAAAGUUGUUUAUUUUUAUACAAACAAUCCAAAUCUGCAAUAAGAAACGGGGUCUACCAUUUAAGAUUUUAAAGUAACCCCCCACCUCACCUCCGUGGGGGGUCGUGUUUGGAACCAUUCGAUAGAUUUUUCAAAAUCAUUGAUAAAGUGUAUUUUGCAGUUUUUCGAUAUGAUGUUUAUUUUGCGAAAGAUCGCGGGAUUUGUAUUAAAAAUUUUAAAUUUACCCCCCACCCCUCUCCGUGGGGGGUCAAGUUUGGUAUUUUUCGAUAGAUUUUUGAAAAAUAUUGAACACGUAGUUUUUAGUUUUUCAAUCUGACGUUCAUUUCGCGAAAUAUUCGCUUUUUUGUGAAACUUUUUGACUCACCCAUUUCCGUACGCCCCGCUCAAAUCGUCAUAUUUUUGAAAUAUAGACUCUUUUGCAUGUACUUAACUUACCUUAUCUUAAUCUGACAAUUUCGAAUAUUUUAAGGAUAGAUUUUUUUUCGGGCCCCCCUGAACGAACUCCCCUGUGUUAAGAGCCAAUAUAUGGUGGAGGUACAUCUGCAGGGUACCACGUUUCUCCCCAUAUGAUAAUCUGACGCGCUCGAGUAACUGCAAAAAUCCCCGCUUGGGCUCCCCUACCAUUAUAUUUGUGUUGCCAGGAAGCGAAAAAGGUACUUCCCGAAAUGUUCCCAAACUGUGGCUUAUUCCACAUAAAAUAGUAAAUUGCAUAAGAUGACACAAGAAAAUAGUUUCAAAACAAUACCAAAAUAAGAUGUAGUAGAAGUAAGUACAGGACAGAGACAUGAUUAUCUACAAUUACUAAACGUUCGUAAGUUUCCUCUGGAUCGUCAAAAUGAAAAAUUUUAACUAACAAUAACCGCGCCACGAACGCGCGGCGCACACACGGCGCGGAGUUCGCGGCGCGGAUAUGUAUUUCCGCCUUAACGAUUUUAAGGGUCACAAGAUGGAGGGAAGUUGCCAGGAAUCGACAGUAGUGGCAACUUCAACUUCUUUGCGAGCAGGCCAAGAUCCGCAUACCGGCUUAUAGCUUAUGGCAGCGGUUCUCGAACUUUUUUAGUCGCGGCACCCUUGUAGGGCUAAAAAUAUUUCGAGGCACACCAACCCUUGAAGCGAUUUGGGAAAGGACAAAAAAUGAAAAAAAAAAUACAAUUCUGAGACUCAUUUGAUUUCAAUAUAGGUAAAAUUUAUAUCAGAUCAAUAAAAUACAGUACAUUUGAUAUUAAAAUAUCCUUACUUAAUGCAAUGAAUGAAUGAAACUGUUUCGAUGAUGUUUUCAUUAUAUCCUUUAUAAUUAUGGGAAUCUUGGUAAGUUUGACCCUCAAAUCCCUUGAUGCUUGAAGUUUGCUUCUGUAUUUUUUGUUUUUAAUGUAACAUAUGCGGAGAAAGAAGACUCACAAAAAUAAGUCGAUCUGAAACACACAAGUUUUUUCACUACAACCUUGCCAACAACAUUAUUUUCUGAAUAUACCUGCAUCCAGAACUCUUCUUGACUUCCUUCACGGUAUUUGAGUUUUAAACUGCUAUCUUCAUUGAUCUUGAUCUAGAUUUUGAAAAACUUCAUUUGUCAUUCUGACAGGUCUAUUUUUUGGGUCGAACGAAAACGAGUCCAUCAUCCAGCUAUACAGGGUGUCCAGAAACUCUACAAACAAAGACAGGAGAUUCCUCAGUUAACCCAAUUCAUCUAGUUCGAAAAUGCUUCCUAAAGGAGCUAGAGCUAUUUGAAGAUGGCGCCUGGUAAUUAGUUUUUCUUAAAUAUCUCCAGAACUCUUCUAUUUAGAGAAACGAAAAUUGGUUCACAUAUUUAUCUUCCAGAGAUAAAUCGAUUUCAUCCAUUGCAAAUUUCUAGUAUUAGUCAUAGGCGUCCGUUUUGGGUAGGGCGACAGUUAUAUUAUCGCAUAACAUUUUUGUUUUUAUUUUUAAGCAUUUUUGAGUCUGGAUUAUUAAAAUGUAAGGUAUUAUAGUACUAAAACGUACUCUUAUUUUAAGUCGGUACGAUACACCGUUUUCUAGAAAAAUCGAUUUGAAAAUUUUUCGUUUUUUGAAUAUCAAAAAAAAACUAUUUUGAAAAACGAAAACUGGUACCUUUAUUUAUAUUCCGGAGAUGAAUCGAUUUCAUUAAUUUAGAAUUUCUAGUACCGGUGAUAUGCGUUCGUUUUGGGUAGGCCAAGGGUUAUUUUAUCGCAUAACUUUUGGUCUUUAAUUUUUAAGAUUUUUUGACACUAAAUUAUUAAAUUAUGAGGUAUCCUAGUACUAAAAGUUACUCUUGCUUUAAGUUGGUAAAAUACACCGUUUUUUGUGAAUUUUUUUUUUCAAUUGUUUUUUUAAAUUCAGGAAACGAAAAAUUUUUAAAUCGAUUUUUCUAGAAAACGGUGUGUUCUACCCACUUAAAACAAGAAUACCUUUUAGUACUGGAAUACCUCACAAUUUAAUAAUCCAAUAUCAAAAAUGCUUAAAAGUUAAAGACAAAUAAGUUAUGCGAUAAAAUAACUGUUGCCCCACCCAAGACGGAAGCCUAUGACUGGUACUAGAAAUUUACAAUGGAUGGAAUAAAUUUAUCUCUGGAAGAUAAAUAUGUGUACCAAUUUUCGUUUUUCUAACUAGAAGCAUUCUGGAGGUAUGCUAUCUUCAAAGAGCUCUAGUUCUCUUAGGAAGCAUUUUCGGACUAGGUGAAUUUGGUUAAAUUGCCUUAAAAAUAUCUGAGGAAUCUCCUGUCUUCGUUUGCCGGUAGAAUUUCUGGACACCCUGUAUAAGUCAUCUGAGUCAAUGUCAGGAUAGUUUACAAUACUUUCUUCCAAACCUUGCAAAUGAGCAAUAACAAUUUCAAAGAAGUUCGUUUGAGGAUUGAUUUCAUUUGUUAUAACAAAUUCCUGUUAUCGAGAGAAACUACAAAUAGUCAACAUGUUUCGAUUGGAGAGUGGCGCAGCGGCCGGUUGUUCGACUUUUCUUAAAGGUUCCAUGUCACCCUCGGCAAUUGCUUGAGGCACCCCAGGGUGCCGUGUCACCCACUUUGAGAACCUCUGGCUUAUGGCAGUGGUCGGAGUGAAAUGGAAUGUUGAUGAAUAUUCGCAGUCAAGUCCAGGAUAUAGUGAAUAACGAAUGCGAAACAACUUACGUGGUGCGGCCAUAUUCAAAGCAUGACAGAAGAUAGACUACCAAAGCAACUUGUAAUAUAUGUGGUGCCACUGUUAGGCAACCAACAUGACAUGAGCCUGGUGGUGACAUAACCUGUCAUCAUAGGGGGCAGUCAACAUGUGAAUGUGUCAUGAAAAUGAUCACAAUAAAAGGUCUUGAAUCAAACAUAUUCUAUUUAUUCAUCUUUAUCAUAGAGGUAUAUAUUAACAUAGAGGGAGCCUACCUUCCGCGCUUCCUGACGACAAGAUCUCAUGGACUGGUUUGCUCCAUCUCUUUCUAACACAUUGUAUCGAAAAUCUAUGAUGACAUUCAGUGCAUUUCAGUGUGAAUAUAGGCACGGAAGAGGAGGACAACUGUAGCAGCUUUACUAUGCGUAAGAGUGAAACAGCACUAAUCCAAAUAAAAAAGAUGGUGUCGUCACUUCGCUCUGAAUAACACUCUCUCUAUGCUAAUAUAUAACUCUAUGAUCUUUAUACCCUGGGCCCGUAUUCUUGAAUUUCAGAGAGUAGAAAUGGUAGGAGAAAGUGACGUAAAAGUAGGCGUGGCUCCCUAAAACCGAAAAUGCUGUAUUCUUGAAAAAAAUUCUCUUAAUCUUUGAGAGAAAUGUCACUCCCCAAGGGAGUAAUAAUUUCUACUGGUAGUAUGUAAGAGAAAUUGAAAAUUGGAGUGAAAAUAA
Long non-coding RNA from Diabrotica virgifera virgifera (western corn rootworm), 5910 nucleotides. RefSeq lists it as uncharacterized. NCBI's taxonomy places the organism in Eukaryota, Metazoa, Arthropoda, Insecta, Coleoptera, Chrysomelidae. The transcript is spliced from 2 exons. The record is from RefSeq and is a predicted model, not a curated record.